CACGCCGUAAACGAUGAGUGCUAAGUGUUGGAGGGUUUCCGCCCUUCAGUGCUGCAGCUAACGCAUUAAGCACUCCGCCUGGGGAGUACGACCGCAAGGUUGAAACUCAAAGGAAUUGACGGGGGCCCGCACAAGCGGUGGAGCAUGUGGUUUAAUUCGAAGCAACGCGAAGAACCUUACCAGGUCUUGACAUCCUUUGACCACUCUAGAGAUAGAGCUUUCCCUUCGGGGACAAAGUGACAGGUGG
This 247-nucleotide ribosomal RNA is filed under the name uncultured bacterium. Its description in RNAcentral is "partial 16S ribosomal RNA". It matches the Rfam family "Bacterial small subunit ribosomal RNA", at positions 796 to 1041 of the family's 1533-position model. The record is from RNAcentral.